Molecule: ribosomal RNA, 474 nt
Filed under: uncultured bacterium
Lineage: Bacteria
Description: bacterial SSU rRNA
Rfam family: Bacterial small subunit ribosomal RNA
Source: RNAcentral
AGCGGCAGGCUUAACACAUGCAAGUCGAGGGGCAGCACGGGUAGCAAUACCUGGUGGCGACCGGCGCAAGGGUGCGUAACGCGUGAGCAACAUGCCCUAUACAGGGGGAUAAUCCAGGGAAACUUGGUCUAAUAUCCCAUAGUAUUUAGAGGAGACAUCUUCUAUAAAUUAAAGCUUCGGUGGUAUAGGAUUGGCUCGCGUGACAUUAGCUAGAUGGUGAGGUAACGGCUCACCAUGGCAAUGAUGUCUAGGGGUUCUGAGAGGAAGGCCCCCCACACUGGGACUGAGACACGGCCCAGACUCCUACGGGAGGCAGCAGUGAGGAAUAUUGGACAAUGGAUGGAAAUCUGAUCCAGCCAUGCCGCGUGCAGGAAGACAGCCCUAUGGGUUGUAAACUGCUUUUAUAUGGGAGCAAUAAGGUCUACGUGUAGACUGAUGAGAGUACCAUAUGAAUAAGCAUCGGCUAACUCCGUG